RNAcentral lists this transfer RNA (72 nucleotides) under Cellulomonas hominis. RNAcentral describes it as "tRNA-Ala". The record is from RNAcentral. Lineage: Bacteria; Bacillati; Actinomycetota; Actinomycetes; Micrococcales; Cellulomonadaceae.
CGGCUUCGCGUGGGGCAUGACGUCGGGGUUCGCGAUCCCGACGGCGCAGGCGUUCGGCGCGCACGACGCCGC